RNAcentral lists this ribosomal RNA (396 nucleotides) under uncultured Rhodoferax sp. RNAcentral's name for it is "bacterial SSU rRNA". It matches the Rfam family "Bacterial small subunit ribosomal RNA", at positions 985 to 1382 of the family's 1533-position model. Lineage: Bacteria; Pseudomonadati; Pseudomonadota; Betaproteobacteria; Burkholderiales; Comamonadaceae. The record is from RNAcentral.
CAUGUACGGAACCCUUUAGAGAUAGAGGGGUGCUCGAAAGAGAGCCGUAACACAGGUGCUGCAUGGCUGCGUCAGCUCGUGUCGUGAGAUGUUGGGUUAAGUCCCGCAACGAGCGCAACCCUUGUCAUUAGUUGCUACAUUCAGUUGGGCACUCUAAUGAGACUGCCGGUGACAAGCCGGAGGAAGGUGGGGAUGACGUCAAGUCCUCAUGGCCCUUAUAGGUGGGGCUACACACGUCAUACAAUGGCUGGUACAAAGGGUUGCCAACCCGCGAGGGGGAGCCAAUCCCAUAAAGCCAGUCGUAGUCCGGAUCGUAGUCUGCAACUCGACUACGUGAAGUCGGAAUCGCUAGUAAUCGUGGAUCAGAAUGUCACGGUGAAUACGUUCCCGGGUCUU